CCUACGGGAGGCAGCAGUGGGGAAUCUUGCGCAAUGGGCGAAAGCCUGACGCAGCCAUGCCGCGUGUAUGAUGAAGGUCUUAGGAUUGUAAAAUACUUUCACCGGGGACGAUAAUGACGGUACCCGGAGAAGAAGCCCCGGCUAACUUCGUGCCAGCAGCCGCGGUAAUACGAAGGGGGCUAGCGUUGCUCGGAAUUACUGGGCGUAAAGGGAGCGUAGGCGGACAGUUUAGUCAGAGGUGAAAGCCCAGGGCUCAACCUUGGAAUUGCCUUUGAUACUGACUGUCUUGAGUGUGGGAGAGGUGAGUGGAACUCCGAGUGUAGAGGUGAAAUUCGUAGAUAUUCGGAAGAACACCAGUGGCGAAGGCGACUCACUGGCCCAUUACUGACGCUGAGGCUCGAAAGCGUGGGGAGCAAACAGGAUUAGAUACCCUGGUAGUCCACGCCGUAAACGAUGAGUGCUAGUUGUCGGCAUGCAUGCAUGUCGGUGACGCAGCUAACGCAUUAAGCACUCCGCCUGGGGAGUACGGUCGCAGNUUAAACUUAAAGGAAUUGAGG
RNAcentral lists this ribosomal RNA (557 nucleotides) under uncultured bacterium. Its description in RNAcentral is "bacterial SSU rRNA". It matches the Rfam family "Bacterial small subunit ribosomal RNA", at positions 338 to 915 of the family's 1533-position model. The record is from RNAcentral.